This 447-nucleotide ribosomal RNA is filed under the name uncultured bacterium. RNAcentral describes it as "partial 16S ribosomal RNA". It matches the Rfam family "Bacterial small subunit ribosomal RNA", at positions 29 to 523 of the family's 1533-position model. The record is from RNAcentral.
AACGAACGCUGGCGGCAGGCCUAAAACAUGCAAGUCGAACGCCCCGCAAGGGGAGUGGCGCACGGGUGAGUAACGCGUGGGAACGUGCCCUUCAGUACGGGACAACGUCGGGAAACUGACGCUAAUACCGUAUAAUGACUCCGGUCCAAAGAUUUAUCGCUGAAGGAGCGGCCCGCGUCUGAUUAGCUAGUUGGUGAGGUAAUGGCUCACCAAGGCUACGAUCAGUAGCAGGUCUGAGAGGAUGAUCUGCCACACUGGGACUGAGACACGGCCCAGACUCCUACGGGAGGCAGCAGUUAGGAAUAUUGGACAAUGGGGGAAACCCUGAUCCAGCCAUGCCGCGUGUGUGAUGAAGGCCCUAGGGUUGUAAAGCACUUUCGUUGGGGAUGAUAAUGACCGUACCCAAAGAAGAAGCACCGGCUAACUUCGUGCCAGCCGCCGCCGUAA